This 200-nucleotide ribosomal RNA is filed under the name uncultured bacterium. Its description in RNAcentral is "partial 16S ribosomal RNA". It matches the Rfam family "Bacterial small subunit ribosomal RNA", at positions 524 to 723 of the family's 1533-position model. The record is from RNAcentral.
UACGGAGGGUGCAAGCGUUAUCCGGAUUUACUGGGUUUAAAGGGUCCGUAGGCGGUUUGGUAAGUCAGUGGUGAAAGCCCAUCGCUCAACGGUGGAACGGCCAUUGAUACUGCCAGACUUGAAUUAUUAGGAAGUAACUAGAAUAUGUAGUGUAGCGGUGAAAUGCUUAGAGAUUACAUGGAAUACCAAUUGCGAAGGCA